Molecule: ribosomal RNA, 533 nt
Filed under: uncultured bacterium
Lineage: Bacteria
Description: bacterial SSU rRNA
Rfam family: Bacterial small subunit ribosomal RNA
Source: RNAcentral
CAAGGCCUUGCGCGAUAGGAUGAGCCGACGCCCGAUUAGCUAGUUGGUAGGGUAAAGGCCUACCAAGGCGACGAUCGGUAGCUGGUCUGAGAGGAUGAUCAGCCACACUGGGGACUGAGACACGGCCCAGACUCCUACGGGAGGCAGCAGUGGGGAAUAUUGGACAAUGGGCGCAAGCCUGAUCCAGCAAUGCCGCGUGUGUGAAGAAGGCCUGCGGGUUGUAAAGCACUUUUGUUCGGGAAGAAAACGGAUCGGUUAAUACCCGGUUCGGAUGACGGUACCGAAAGAAUAAGCACCGGCUAACUUCGUGCCAGCAGCCGCGGUAAUACGAAGGGUGCAAGCGUUAAUCGGAAUUACUGGGCGUAAAGCGUGCGUAGGCGGCUUUUUAAGUCGGAUGUGAAAUCCCCGGGCUCAACCUGGGAAUGGCAUCCGAUACUGGGGAGCUAGAGUUUGGGAGAGGGUGGUGGAAUUCCCGGUGUAGCGGUGAAAUGCGUAGAGAUCGGGAGAACAUCAGUGGCGAAGGCGGCACCUGG